Molecule: ribosomal RNA, 253 nt
Filed under: uncultured bacterium
Lineage: Bacteria
Description: partial 16S ribosomal RNA
Rfam family: Bacterial small subunit ribosomal RNA
Source: RNAcentral
UACGAGGGGUGCAAGCGUUGUUCGGAAUUACUGGGCGUAAAGCGUGAGGAGGCGGCUUGUUAAGUCUGAUGUGAAAGCCCUGGGCUUAACCCAGGAACUGCAUCGGAAACUAGCAGGCUAGAGUUCGGGAGAGGGUCGUGGAAUUCUUGGUGUAGAGGUGAAAUUCGUAGAUAUCAAGAGCAACACCGGUGGCGAAGGCGGCGACCUGGACCGACACUGACGCUAAUACACGAAAGCGUGGGGAGCAAACAGG